UCGAUCUGUCAAACUGAAUGACCCUGUUGA
Molecule: non-coding RNA, 30 nt
Filed under: Mus musculus (house mouse)
Lineage: Eukaryota; Metazoa; Chordata; Mammalia; Rodentia; Muridae
Source: RNAcentral